Molecule: ribosomal RNA, 393 nt
Filed under: uncultured bacterium
Lineage: Bacteria
Description: partial 16S ribosomal RNA
Rfam family: Bacterial small subunit ribosomal RNA
Source: RNAcentral
AUACGGAGGAUGCAAGCGUUAUCCGGAUUUAUUGGGUUUAAAGGGUGCGUAGGCGGUUUGCUAAGCGGGAGGUGAAAUGCCGGCGCUCAACGUCGGAAGUGCCUCCCGAACUGGUGGACUUGAAUGACUCUGCCGUGGGAGGAAUGUGUAGUGUAGCGGUGAAAUGCUUAGAGAUUACACAGAACACCGAUUGCGAAGGCAUCUCACGAAGGGUUGAUUGACGCUGAGGCACGAAAGCGUGGGGAUCAAACAGGAUUAGGUACCCUGGUAGUCCACGCAGCAAACGAUGAUGGCUAACCGCUGGGCUUAUCAGUUCAGUGGCCAAGCGAAAGCGAUAAGCUAUCCACCUGGGGAGUACGACCGCAAGGUUGAAACUCAAAUGAAUUGACGGGG